Molecule: long non-coding RNA, 775 nt
Organism: Macadamia integrifolia
Lineage: Eukaryota; Viridiplantae; Streptophyta; Magnoliopsida; Proteales; Proteaceae
Exons: 3
Source: RefSeq, a predicted model, not a curated record
CUUUAUCCUCAAAACAUAACAUUAGGUGAAGCUAAGGGAAGAAAAGCCCUAUUACCCUCUUUCACAGUUGCAACGGCCAGAGAUAACAUAUGCAGCGUGAAGGGAACUGAAGCAAGAACUCAGAGCCUCUGUCGAUCUGCCGUCGGUGAUCCUAGUUUAUUUCGUUGUUCCAACAGGAUUUAAGUUUGUUGCAGCCACCUUCUACGAAGACGACGCAGACCUGCCGGCGAGCUUACCUUGUUGAUCCAGCCAGGUCGAAGUUCGAUUUUCCCAGGGAGAAGUAUUUUUCUGAGCCUAUGCCCACGAAGGUAAGUCGCUUCUCUCUCUCCCUCUCUCUGAAAAGGCAUCGAUUUAUGUCUGGACCUGUGAUUUGAAUGUGUGAAGUAUGGAAUGCAGAUUUAGGGUUCUUUCCUUGGUUGAUUUGAAUUUAUUUUCUAUAAAAUUUGAAUGUCUCCUGUGAAGCCUUGAAUCUCUGAUUUUUGGGAAAGAAACCUUACAAAAUUUGCUUGCUGUCUCUUGUAUAUGCUUCGUGAUUUAUGGUUUUAGGGAGAAGGGAUUAGGUACAGAAAUAUUCAUGAUCUUAAGACUCAAUUAGUUUCAAGGAGGUGAUGUUGAAACUUUUCUGAAUGGGAAUCCUUUAAUAUGUGGCUCAUGCAUGUUGAUGUCGAGAUCUUAAGUGUUAUUUAUGCAUUUGGACUUCAAAAUCACAUGCGACUCAUAACUUUGGACAGCAUUACUUGGCCCCCCCCCUCCCACCACCCCACCCACCCAAAAA